UAAUACGAAGGGGGCUAGCGUUGCUCGGAAUUACUGGGCGUAAAGGGAGCGUAGGCGGACAUUUAAGUCAGGGGUGAAAUCCCAGAGCUCAACUCUGGAACUGCCUUUGAUACUGGGUGUCUUGAGUGUGAGAGAGGUAUGUGGAACUCCGAGUGUAGAGGUGAAAUUCGUAGAUAUUCGGAAGAACACCAGUGGCGAAGGCGACAUACUGGCUCAUUACUGACGCUGAGGCUCGAAAGCGUGGGGAGCAAACAGGAUUAGAUACCCUGGUAGUCCACGCCGUAAACGAUGAUUGCUAGUUGUCGGGAAGCUUGCUUCUCGGUGACGCAGCUAACGCAUUAAGCAAUCCGCCUGGGGAGUACGGUCGCAAGAUUA
This 375-nucleotide ribosomal RNA is filed under the name uncultured bacterium. Its description in RNAcentral is "bacterial SSU rRNA". It matches the Rfam family "Bacterial small subunit ribosomal RNA", at positions 521 to 896 of the family's 1533-position model. The record is from RNAcentral.